GACGAACGCUGGCGGCGUGCCUAACACAUGCAAGUCGAACGAGGUCCAUCCUUCGGGAGAAGACCUAGUGGCGAACGGGUGAGUAACACGUGAGGAACCUGCCCCGAAGACCGGGAUAACCCUCCGAAAGGAGAGCUAAUACCGGAUACCCCCACCGAACCGCAUGGUUUGGUGAGGAAAUGGAUUCCGCUUCGGGAGGGCCUCGCGGCCUAUCAGCUAGUUGGUGGGGUAACGGCCCACCAAGGCAUCGACGGGUAGCUGGUCUGAGAGGACGAUCAGCCACACUGGGACUGAGACACGGCCCAGACUCCUACGGGAGGCAGCAGUGGGGAAUCUUGCGCAAUGGGCGAAAGCCUGACGCAGCAACGCCGCGUGGGGAUGAAGGCUCUCGGGUUGUAAACCCCUUUCAGCAGGGACGAAUCAAGACGGUACCUGCAGAAGAAGCCCCGGCUAACUACGUGCCAGCAGCCGCGGUAAU
RNAcentral lists this ribosomal RNA (478 nucleotides) under uncultured bacterium. RNAcentral describes it as "bacterial SSU rRNA". It matches the Rfam family "Bacterial small subunit ribosomal RNA", at positions 28 to 524 of the family's 1533-position model. The record is from RNAcentral.